ACGUAGGAGGCAAGCGUUAUUCGGAUUUACUGGGCGUAAAGCGCGUGCAGGCGGUUCGGUAAGUUGGAUGUGAAAGCUCCUGGCUUAACUGGGAGAGGUCGUUCAAUACUACCGAACUAGAGGAUGAGAGAGGGAGGUGGAAUUCCGAGUGUAGUGGUGGAAUGCGUAGAUAUUCGGAGGAACACCAGUGGCGAAAGCGGCCUCCUGGCUCAUAACUGACGCUCAGACGCGAAAGCUAGGGUAGCAAACGG
This 251-nucleotide ribosomal RNA is filed under the name uncultured prokaryote. Its description in RNAcentral is "partial 16S rRNA". It matches the Rfam family "Bacterial small subunit ribosomal RNA", at positions 525 to 775 of the family's 1533-position model. The record is from RNAcentral.